Molecule: transfer RNA, 73 nt
Filed under: Camelus bactrianus (Bactrian camel)
Lineage: Eukaryota; Metazoa; Chordata; Mammalia; Artiodactyla; Camelidae
Also listed under: 3 other names
Rfam family: tRNA
About the family: Transfer RNA (tRNA) molecules are approximately 80 nucleotides in length.
Source: Rfam by way of RNAcentral
GAGGGUAUAGCUCAGUUGGUAGAGCAUGCGCCUAGCAUGCACAAGUUCCUGGGUUCAAUCCCCAGUACCUCCA